UUAAGCGACUAAGCGUACACGGUGGAUGCCCUGGCAGUCAGAGGCGAUGAAGGACGUGCUAAUCUGCGAUAAGCGUCGGUGAGGUGAUAUGAACUGUUAUAACCGGCGAUUUCCGAAUGGGGAAACCCAGUGUGUUUCGACACACUAUCAUUAACUGAAUCCAUAGGUUAAUGAGGCGAACCGGGGGAACUGAAACAUCUAAGUACCCCGAGGAAAAGAAAUCAACCGAGAUUCCCCCAGUAGCGGCGAGCGAACGGGGAGGAGCCCAGAGCCUGAAUCAGUGUGUGUGUUAGUGGAAGCGUCUGGAAAGGCGCGCGAUACAGGGUGACAGCCCCGUACACAAAAAUGCACAUAUUGUGAGCUCGAUGAGUAGGGCGGGACACGUGGUAUCCUGUCUGAAUAUGGGGGGACCAUCCUCCAAGGCUAAAUACUCCUGACUGACCGAUAGUGAACCAGUACCGUGAGGGAAAGGCGAAAAGAACCCCGGCGAGGGGAGUGAAAAAGAACCUGAAACCGUGUACGUACAAGCAGUGGGAGCCUCUUUAUGGGGUGACUGCGUACCUUUUGUAUAAUGGGUCAGCGACUUAUAUUCUGUAGCAAGGUUAACCGAAUAGGGGAGCCGAAGGGAAACCGAGUCUUAACUGGGCGUUAAGUUGCAGGGUAUAGACCCGAAACCCGGUGAUCUAGCCAUGGGCAGGUUGAAGGUUGGGUAACACUAACUGGAGGACCGAACCGACUAAUGUUGAAAAAUUAGCGGAUGACUUGUGGCUGGGGGUGAAAGGCCAAUCAAACCGGGAGAUAGCUGGUUCUCCCCGAAAGCUAUUUAGGUAGCGCCUCGUGAAUUCAUCUCCGGGGGUAGAGCACUGUUUCGGCAAGGGGGUCAUCCCGACUUACCAACCCGAUGCAAACUGCGAAUACCGGAGAAUGUUAUCACGGGAGACACACGGCGGGUGCUAACGUCCGUCGUGAAGAGGGAAACAACCCAGACCGCCAGCUAAGGUCCCAAAGUCAUGGUUAAGUGGGAAACGAUGUGGGAAGGCCCAGACAGCCAGGAUGUUGGCUUAGAAGCAGCCAUCAUUUAAAGAAAGCGUAAUAGCUCACUGGUCGAGUCGGCCUGCGCGGAAGAUGUAACGGGGCUAAACCAUGCACCGAAGCUGCGGCAGCGACACUAUGUGUUGUUGGGUAGGGGAGCGUUCUGUAAGCCUGUGAAGGUGGCCUGUGAGGGUUGCUGGAGGUAUCAGAAGUGCGAAUGCUGACAUAAGUAACGAUAAAGCGGGUGAAAAGCCCGCUCGCCGGAAGACCAAGGGUUCCUGUCCAACGUUAAUCGGGGCAGGGUGAGUCGACCCCUAAGGCGAGGCCGAAAGGCGUAGUCGAUGGGAAACAGGUUAAUAUUCCUGUACUUGGUGUUACUGCGAAGGGGGGACGGAGAAGGCUAUGUUGGCCGGGCGACGGUUGUCCCGGUUUAAGCGUGUAGGCUGGUUUUCCAGGCAAAUCCGGAAAACCAAGGCUGAGGCGUGAUGACGAGGCACUACGGUGCUGAAGCGACAAAUGCCCUGCUUCCAGGAAAAGCCUCUAAGCAUCAGGUAACAUCAAAUCGUACCCCAAACCGACACAGGUGGUCAGGUAGAGAAUACCAAGGCGCUUGAGAGAACUCGGGUGAAGGAACUAGGCAAAAUGGUGCCGUAACUUCGGGAGAAGGCACGCUGAUAUGUAGGUGAAGCGACUUGCUCGUGGAGCUGAAAUCAGUCGAAGAUACCAGCUGGCUGCAACUGUUUAUUAAAAACACAGCACUGUGCAAACACGAAAGUGGACGUAUACGGUGUGACGCCUGCCCGGUGCCGGAAGGUUAAUUGAUGGGGUUAGCGGUAACGCGAAGCUCUUGAUCGAAGCCCCGGUAAACGGCGGCCGUAACUAUAACGGUCCUAAGGUAGCGAAAUUCCUUGUCGGGUAAGUUCCGACCUGCACGAAUGGCGUAAUGAUGGCCAGGCUGUCUCCACCCGAGACUCAGUGAAAUUGAACUCGCUGUGAAGAUGCAGUGUACCCGCGGCAAGACGGAAAGACCCCGUGAACCUUUACUAUAGCUUGACACUGAACAUUGAGCCUUGAUGUGUAGGAUAGGUGGGAGGCUUUGAAGUGUGGACGCCAGUCUGCAUGGAGCCGACCUUGAAAUACCACCCUUUAAUGUUUGAUGUUCUAACGUUGGCCCGUAAUCCGGGUUGCGGACAGUGUCUGGUGGGUAGUUUGACUGGGGCGGUCUCCUCCUAAAGAGUAACGGAGGAGCACGAAGGUUGGCUAAUCCUGGUCGGACAUCAGGAGGUUAGUGCAAUGGCAUAAGCCAGCUUGACUGCGAGCGUGACGGCGCGAGCAGGUGCGAAAGCAGGUCAUAGUGAUCCGGUGGUUCUGAAUGGAAGGGCCAUCGCUCAACGGAUAAAAGGUACUCCGGGGAUAACAGGCUGAUACCGCCCAAGAGUUCAUAUCGACGGCGGUGUUUGGCACCUCGAUGUCGGCUCAUCACAUCCUGGGGCUGAAGUAGGUCCCAAGGGUAUGGCUGUUCGCCAUUUAAAGUGGUACGCGAGCUGGGUUUAGAACGUCGUGAGACAGUUCGGUCCCUAUCUGCCGUGGGCGCUGGAGAACUGAGGGGGGCUGCUCCUAGUACGAGAGGACCGGAGUGGACGCAUCACUGGUGUUCGGGUUGUCAUGCCAAUGGCACUGCCCGGUAGCUAAAUGCGGAAGAGAUAAGUGCUGAAAGCAUCUAAGCACGAAACUUGCCCCGAGAUGAGUUCUCCCUGAGACUUAGAGUCUCCUGAAGGAACGUUGAAGACGACGACGUUGAUAGGCCGGGUGUGUAAGCGCAGCGAUGCGUUGAGCUAACCGGUACUAAUGAACCGUGAGGCUUAACCUU
Molecule: ribosomal RNA, 2902 nt
Filed under: Escherichia coli HVH 201 (4-4459431)
Lineage: Bacteria; Pseudomonadati; Pseudomonadota; Gammaproteobacteria; Enterobacterales; Enterobacteriaceae
Description: bacterial LSU rRNA
Rfam family: Bacterial large subunit ribosomal RNA
Source: RNAcentral